RNAcentral lists this ribosomal RNA (523 nucleotides) under uncultured Gemmatimonadota bacterium. RNAcentral's name for it is "bacterial SSU rRNA". It matches the Rfam family "Bacterial small subunit ribosomal RNA", at positions 9 to 524 of the family's 1533-position model. The record is from RNAcentral. Lineage: Bacteria; Pseudomonadati; Gemmatimonadota.
GAGUUUGAUCAUGGCUCAGGACGAACGCUGGCGGCGCGCUUAACACAUGCAAGUCGUACGGGGCCCUUCGGGGUUCAGUGGCGAACGGGUGCGUAACACGUGAGUGACCUGCCCUUGUGCGGGGGAUAACCCAGGGAAACUUGGGCUAAUACCGCAUGCACUCCACCGGAUUAGAGGCUGGUGGAGGAAAGGCGCUGCAAGGCGUCGCGCAGGGAGGGGCUCGCGGCGUAUCAGGUAGUUGGUGAGGUAACGGCUCACCAAGCCGAUGACGCGUAGGGGGUCUGAGAGGAUGGCCCCCACAUUGGGACUGAGAUACGGCCCAGACUCCUACGGGAGGCAGCAGUGGGGAAUCUUGCGCAAUGGCCGAAAGGCUGACGCAGCGACGCCGCGUGCGGGAUGAAGCUUUUCGGAGUGUAAACCGCUGUCAGGUGGGACGAAGGUCCCGGAGAGGGAAAUGCUCUGGGGAUGGGGACGUACCACCAAAGGAAGCACCGGCUAACUUCGUGCCAGCCGCCGCAGUAAC